This 1868-nucleotide ribosomal RNA is filed under the name Helochares lividus. RNAcentral's name for it is "SSU rRNA". It matches the Rfam family "Eukaryotic small subunit ribosomal RNA". Lineage: Eukaryota; Metazoa; Arthropoda; Insecta; Coleoptera; Hydrophilidae. The record is from RNAcentral.
UUGUCUCAAAGAUUAAGCCAUGCAUGUCUCAGUACAAGCCAAAUUAAGGUGAAACCGCGAAAGGCUCAUUAAAUCAGUUAUGGUUCCUUAGAUCGUACCCACAUUUACUUGGAUAACUGUGGUAAUUCUAGAGCUAAUACAUGCAAACAGAGCUCCGACCGGAGACGGAAGGAGCGCUUUUAUUAGAUCAAAACCAAUCGGUGGCGGGCGUUUGCGCGCUCGUCAUCGUACAUUUUGGUGACUCUGAAUAACUUUUUGCUGAUCGCACGGUCCAGCACCGGCGACGCAUCUUUCAAAUGUCUGCCUUAUCAACUGUCGAUGGUAGGUUCUGCGCCUACCAUGGUUGUAACGGGUAACGGGGAAUCAGGGUUCGAUUCCGGAGAGGGAGCCUGAGAAACGGCUACCACAUCCAAGGAAGGCAGCAGGCGCGCAAAUUACCCACUCCCGGCACGGGGAGGUAGUGACGAAAAAUAACGAUACGGGACUCAUCCGAGGCCCCGUAAUCGGAAUGAGUACACUCUAAACCCUUUAACGAGGAUCAAUUGGAGGGCAAGUCUGGUGCCAGCAGCCGCGGUAAUUCCAGCUCCAAUAGCGUAUAUUAAAGUUGUUGCGGUUAAAAAGCUCGUAGUCGAAUCUGUGUCUCGCGCCGCCGGUUCAUCGCUCGCGCGGUGUUUAACUGGCGUGUCGCGGGACGUCCUGCCGGUGGGCUUAGCCUCUUAAUUGGGGCGGCCCAACAUAAUAUCCCACCGCGGUGCUCUUCACUGAGUGUCGAGGUGGGCCGGCACGUUUACUUUGAACAAAUUAGAGUGCUUAAAGCAGGCUCAAACCUCGCCUGAAUACUGUGUGCAUGGAAUAAUGGAAUAGGACCUCGGUUCUAUUUUGUUGGUUUUCGGAACCCCGAGGUAAUGAUUAAUAGGAACGGAUGGGGGCAUUCGUAUUGCGACGUUAGAGGUGAAAUUCUUGGAUCGUCGCAAGACGAACAGAAGCGAAAGCAUUUGCCAAAAACGCUUUCAUUGAUCAAGAACGAAAGUUAGAGGUUCGAAGGCGAUCAGAUACCGCCCUAGUUCUAACCAUAAACGAUGCCAGCUAGCGAUCCGCCGACGUUCCUCCGAUGACUCGGCGGGCAGCUUCCGGGAAACCAAAGCUUUUGGGUUCCGGGGGAAGUAUGGUUGCAAAGCUGAAACUUAAAGGAAUUGACGGAAGGGCACCACCAGGAGUGGAGCCUGCGGCUUAAUUUGACUCAACACGGGAAACCUCACCAGGCCCGGACACCGGAAGGAUUGACAGAUUGAGAGCUCUUUCUUGAUUCGGUGGGUGGUGGUGCAUGGCCGUUCUUAGUUGGUGGAGCGAUUUGUCUGGUUAAUUCCGAUAACGAACGAGACUCUAGCCUGCUAACUAGGCGUAUUUUCGACAUCUCAAAGGCCCGCCGGCCCGCCCCGCGCACUCCGGUGUGUCGGUGACGGUGUCGCGCGCGGUUUUUACUGUCGGCGUACAAUCAAUUCUUCUUAGAGGGACAGGCGGCUUCUAGCCGCACGAGAUUGAGCAAUAACAGGUCUGUGAUGCCCUUAGAUGUUCUGGGCCGCACGCGCGCUACACUGAAGGAAUCAGCGUGUCCUCCCUGGCCGAGAGGCCCGGGUAACCCGCUGAACCUCCUUCGUGCUAGGGAUUGGGGCUUGCAAUUGUUCCCCAUGAACGAGGAAUUCCCAGUAAGCGCGAGUCAUAAGCUCGCGUUGAUUACGUCCCUGCCCUUUGUACACACCGCCCGUCGCUACUACCGAUUGAAUGAUUUAGUGAGGUCUUCGGACCGGUACGCGGUGGCGCUCCUGCGUCGCCGAUGUUGCUGGGAAGAUGACCAAACUUGAUCAUUU